RNAcentral lists this ribosomal RNA (794 nucleotides) under uncultured Thermococcus sp. Its description in RNAcentral is "bacterial SSU rRNA". It matches the Rfam family "Archaeal small subunit ribosomal RNA", at positions 85 to 876 of the family's 1478-position model. The record is from RNAcentral. Lineage: Archaea; Methanobacteriati; Methanobacteriota; Thermococci; Thermococcales; Thermococcaceae.
ACGGCUCAGUAACACGUCGGUAACCUACCCUCGGGAGGGGGAUAACCCCGGGAAACUGGGGCUAAUUCCCCAUAGGCCUGAGGUACUGGAAGGUCCUCAGGCCGAAAGGGACUUAUGUCCGCCCGAGGAUGGGCCGGCGGCCGAUUAGGUAGUUGGUGGGGUAAUGGCCCACCAAGCCGAAGAUCGGUACGGGCUGUGAGAGCAGGAGCCCGGAGAUGGACACUGAGACACGGGUCCAGGCCCUACGGGGCGCAGCAGGCGCGAAACCUCCGCAAUGCGGGAAACCGCGACGGGGGGACCCCGAGUGCCGUGGCAACGCCACGGCUUUUCCGGAGUGUAAAAAGCUCCGGGAAUAAGGGCUGGGCAAGGCCGGUGGCAGCCGCCGCGGUAAUACCGGCGGCCCGAGUGGUGGCCGCUAUUAUUGGGCCUAAAGCGUCCGUAGCCGGGCCCGUAAGUCCCUGGCGAAAUCCCACGGCUCAACCGUGGGGCUUGCUGGGGAUACUGCGGGUCUUGGGACCGGGAGAGGCGGGGGGUACCCCUGGGGUAGGGGUGAAAUCCUAUAAUCCCAGGGGGACCGCCAGUGGCGAAGGCGCCCCGCUGGAACGGGUCCGACGGUGAGGGACGAAGGCCAGGGGAGUAAACCGGAUUAGAUACCCGGGUAGUCCUGGCUGUAAAGGAUGCGGGCUAGGUGUCGGGUGAGCCUCGAGCUCGCCCGGUGCCGUAGGGAAGCCGUUAAGCCCGCCGCCUGGGGAGUACGGCCGCAAGGCUGAAACUUAAAGGAAUUGGCGGGGGAG